GACGAACGCUGGCGGCGUGCUUAACACAUGCAAGUCGAACGGAAAGACCCUGCUUGCAGGGUGCUCGAGUGGCGAACGGGUGAGUAACACGUGGGUGAUCUGCCCCUUACUUUGGGAUAAGCCUGGGAAACUGGGUCUAAUACUGGAUAGGACCAUGCUGUAGGUGGUGUGGUGGAAAGAUUAGUUUCGGUAAGGGAUGAGCUCGCGGCCUAUCAGCUUGUUGGUGGGGUAAUGGCCUACCAAGGCGUCGACGGGUAGCCGGCCUGAGAGGGUGGACGGCCACAUUGGGACUGAGAUACGGACCAGACUCCUACGGGAGGCAGCAGAGGGGAAUAUUGCACAAUGGGCGCAAGCCUGAUGCAGCGACGCCGCGUGGGGGAUGACGGCCUUCGGGUUGUAAACUCCUUUCAGCCAUGACGAAGCCCUUGUGGUGACGGUAGUGGUAGAAGAAGCACCGGCUAACUACGUG
This 469-nucleotide ribosomal RNA is filed under the name uncultured bacterium. RNAcentral describes it as "partial 16S ribosomal RNA". It matches the Rfam family "Bacterial small subunit ribosomal RNA", at positions 28 to 507 of the family's 1533-position model. The record is from RNAcentral.